AGUACUUCCUCGCCCCGUCUGAAACUGAAAGCUGUUUGGGGGAUAUGAAAUUUAACUAUUUAGCCAAAAUGCCCACAACAAAAUCAUAUAAUCAAAAUUAUGCCCCUUUAAAACAUAAUGCACGAAAAGAACUAAAGGUGGAGAGCGCCCUCAGCAGUUCUCAGGAACCCUAAUGCACGAAAGAACCCUAAUCAGCCUUGGCUCCCACCCUUCCCACGCGAUUGAGAUGAAAUGGAUAUGUAUGUAAAUUGGUGUGGCCAAUGGUGAUUUCUUGACAUAGCAAGCCUAAUGCUACAAGGAAUACACGGUGAAACUCAACUUGCAACUACCUCAGAAGGUUAGUUGGUGUGGGUUAACCCUGAAGGAUCACAUGGCUGUCCUCAUCAAGUACACAUUUAGAGCCAUUAGCCAUCUUAUGGCCUUUUUAACUUGCUCGCCUUGCAUCACAUUGUCAGUUUUAUUGCCUUCUCGGCCUGGUACCAGCCGCCUGUAACAUAUGCUUCUUUUCUUUGGCAGGCUUCAUUAUUCUCAUAGGAAAUUGUGUUUGAAACUGAAAUUUAGUAAGGGUGGGCCUUUGUUGAGCUAAGUCAAAUACAAAUUUGUAAUGUUGAAGGAAAAACAAAGAAAAUUAUAACCUUUGCUUGUGGUUGCAGGCUGUAUCCGUGCCUACUGCCUCAUAUCUGAACCGAUCUACAAAGGUCCCAGAUUGAGUAGAAAAUGGCAAAUGGCAAACUGUAAGUAAUUCAAUGUUGAAGGAUUUAGAAGGGAUAUCUCAUCAAUAUGACUAAGGGCAAUUGUUCCAUACAGUGAUACCUCCUAAGCUUGGUGCACUUAAUCUGCAUGAUGGUAUCACCAAUACUUGGUCCAUGCUUCGUCAGGGAAGACUAACCAAGUUGUUGGCUUGUCAGCUGGGAUUAGGCUGUUGGUACUAGAUACCUCAUGUCGGUGUUGUGCAGCGUGUCGGGAUUUAGCUAUAGAGUUACAGGUUUUAAUAAGGGCAGAUAUAGUUUCUCCAGAAAAGUAAAAAAGGGAAAAAGAGGGCAGACUAAGUACAAGGCCAAAACUAGAAAAUAACCUUAGACCAACUGAUCAUGCAUGGUAGCAUUUGUCUGAAUUAUUUCUUUGUUGAUAGAAAUGACAAGGUUCUACCUUACUAGUAGCAACAACAAAAGUGAAGGGCGGAAAGAAUAUGUCGAUUACCUCGAAAAUAGGAGACUGCAUAUCAGUCUUUUAAAAAUGAGAGGAAGGAAACCAAGGUUCAUGUUUUCUUUUGAUUAGAGGUGUUAAAGGUCACCAUCCAAGAUAUGCUAUACCUUCUAGCCUCCAGGGUCCAAGUCCAUGAUGACAUUUUGUCUCAGGACAAGAGGUAUUCUAUCUCAAAGUCUUCCUUGGGCUGGGCUAGCUCCCCAUGGAGCCAAAUGCCACCUGCGUAGCUAUGUGAAAGACUCAGUAGUCUCACCUCCUCCAUAGUGGUGGGUAUAGUCUCCAGUCUUCAUAUUUUUUUCCCCUCAGAAGGAUGUAGUCAUCCUCCAUUUCAAGUUAGAGUCCAAGCCGUCCACAUGAACUUAUGAUAGCAAGAAUCAACAUAACCUUGUAAAGAAAAAAAAAGUUAAAAAAUGGAACCAUUAGAAAUUUGCCUGUCCAUGGGCCAUUGGACAAGUAAAUACCGGAAUAAUAGACAAGCAUCUUCUUGAGUGUUUCAUCUCUUUGCACUGCAUCAGAGCUUCUAAAUACCCAAGUAUAGCCUGUCUGAUACCAUCACCAAUCAUUCAACAUCCUAUCCAAACACGUGGCAUCCAAUGCAUGCGUAGGUGCUUGCAAUUCUCUUUUCUACCCUCCUCAGCCUACAUGCUGGAGACCCUGAUAUCAUUGGAUUCCAUAGUCCUGAAUCACCCUAGAUAUUCUGUCAAUCAUGAACAGUGUAAUGUUUUUAAGUGGAUAUGUUCUUGUUGAUUUUCACAAUUCCAUUUAGAUGUCACCAUAAGACAGUCAUUAGUUUCAUUGGAAGUCUCUCUUUCUUUUAACUUAGCAGUAUCUCUUUAUGAGUAGGAUAAGGUCUCAAGGCAGUUAUCUCAAUCAACUAAGGAGCAGUAUCUCUUAUUCUCUCCCCCUCUUCUGUUAGACUUCCACAUCAGCUUUUUCAUCUCUGUCAUGCUUUUCUGUUCAUUGGUCCCUUCUUGUUACUUCUUCUUUUUGGUAAAAGUUUGUUUUAAAGAAGCCAAACGGACCACUUACAAAAAUAUUACCUGAUUCUUUUCCAAUAUAGCGGUAGCCUGAAUAUUAUCAUCAAGAGAUUAAACUUGAAGCUUGCUAGGACUGCAUCUGACCGUGGUUUCGUUGGCGUCGUAGCUUGCUCCAAUGCAAGUUAGGUUUAUAUUUUUAUUCCGGUUGAAACUUUUUCUUCUGUCAACUGAUCCUGUGGGGAAUGAUCUUCCUCUCGAUGGUUUCUGGUUCUGGUUCAGUUGAAUGGCAAGCCUCCAUCAUUUCUCUAAUCCAAUCUCUGAGUACAGACAACAACAGUAACCAUGUGUUCGGAGAACCAGAAGUUGACAAACUUCAAACCAAAAUCAGGAACAAAAUAGGCUAUUACAUUGAAAUAUGACCAUAAGAAAAUAUGACUCACCUUGGUUUCUGAAGAGAGAAGAUAUGAUUUAGUUGUCAAUUCACUCAAUUGGUGGGUGAUGAUGAGAAAGUUUUCCAAACAGUUUUGAACAUGUCGCUAAUGGACUUUUCUGUUUAUUGUUUGGACAGUAUCUGCGACUGGUUUCUCCUAGAUUGGAGAGCAGGUUUCUUUUCAUCGAUGGGCGACCUUUUUAAAGUCGAACAUCAGUUUAUAAAACUCAUUUCAUAUGACAUAAAUCAGCAAUUUGAUCCUUAAGUCUUCCCUAAAUACUUUACCAGUAUUAUUUGCAGGAAAGCUGUAUAUGAUAAUAUCUGGAUUUCAAGAGGGUGCUGAAUGAUACUUCAAAAUUAAGAUUGCUAUCUACAAUCAAGAGGGCGUGAAACAAAGUUUCACCACCGCUUGCUAAGUAUCCAGAAUAGCAAAACAAAGUUCAUCAGUUAUAGAAUGUGUUCGACAUGAACAACAGAGAAUCACUGCUUUUUUGCUGGCAUGCAUUACUAGUUAUUGAUAAAUUCGGACCAAGUCCAACCCUUGAUUAUUUGUUCCUAUGUAUAUUACCAAGAUCUAAGACAUGUCCUCUUGGGUACCUCUGAAGACGUGCCAUUUAAGGUGACUAAGGGUACCGUCGUAUACUCAUAAAAAGGGUUACAAUGUGCUUCAAAGGGCACUAAGACACCCUACAUGCACUCUCGUCAGCAGAGCUUUUAUUUGUCAUUAAAAGGUGGUUGAUUCCAACAAGCUCCUCAUUCCGGUGCUUCGGACUGGGGACAUGUUUGUGUUUGUGUUCUGUUGGCCGGCGACUAGAGCUUCGGCAUCCUAUCAAACACGGAGGGUUUGUGUUUGUGUUCUAUUGGCGGGCGACUAGAGCUUGGGCAUCCUAUCAAACAUAGAGGUCCCCACGGUAUAUGGCAGCGACAUCGUCGGGCAAUCGGAAACAGAAAUGAAGGAAAACAGGGUGGAAACAAGGGGGUUAUGUGGUGUAAUCUAGUGAUCUCUCCAUGAGAUCUCAGUCGGCGAUGAUGGCCCGAUCAGGGGUGUGUUUGGGCGAUAGUGGCAGCAUUGGUACUAACUCCUGCGAGGCGCCGAUUGGAGUGUACAACAAGGGUUUUGGCAGCACAAUCAUGAGGAAGGAAUUAGGGCAGCGAUUGGCGAAAAGGACUGGUGAUCGUCGGAGUGCCUUAAGGGGUCGUGGAUGAGUUAUACGAGCAGAGGCUAACUCUAGAAAUAAAUAAAUGAAUCUAUUCUUCUGUCUGUUGGAAUGGAUUGAAAUGCGCAUGCUACAAGUUGAGUUUUGGUUGGAUGGUGAUGAGUUCCAAAUAAAGAAAAUCAUCCAUGAGAAAGAUCUAUCUCUAAAAAAAAAGAUACAAGAUAUAUAGGAUAUAUUAUAAUUUUAACCAAUAUAUAUAUAAUACUUUUAAUAUUGUUUGUUUAAACAUCAAAAGUAAAAUUACAAAGAUAUUGCUUAUUAAGGCCUUUCAAUAUACAUGAUUCUUGUUCAAACUUCUAAAUUAAGGCUACAUCAAAACAAAUAUUUUUCUGGUUAUUUCAAUACCUAUAUGCUUCAUCAGUCACUAGAAAGAAUGGAUACUAACUUCUAACAUGAAAAUGGGGGACCAAAUUCAUUGUUCGAAGAGUUUAACUUUCUGCUACUUUUUAAAAGUGGCAAACAUACAACUUCAUAUGCAUCCAAAUGCCGGGUAUGUAUCGAGAUAUGUAUCCAACAUGGAUUUUUGGUGCCAGACACAAAUGUUCAGAUAACACAGAUUUUGUUAGCUACUUGAUGAUGACAAGAUUAAUCAUUCUUGGCUGCUGCUUAGCGUCGACAACUUUAUCUGCCAUUGCUGUCAACAUUUUCUAAAUCCUUCAUCAAACCAUUGCUCAUGUUAUUUUGCUCUUAAUUCAUAAACCCUUAAUGCAUAUACGUCUCUCUUCUAAAUAAGCUCUCCUUAGAUCUUAUUGCCCUUGCCUAUGCCAUUUUAGUUGGAGCUCAUGCUCUACUUCUGCCUACUGAUUUUUUUUGUUUUAUCUCUAUUCUUUUUUUGUAUUUUUUGUGGUGGUGCUGGGUAAUGUCCUGCGUCAAUCUAUAUUUUCAUCCCAGUUGAGCUCGUUUUAUUUGUCGGACUAUUGGGGUUCUCUUUAUUUUCCAACAUGUUGACCCAUGUGGCAUCUCAAGUCUUGCCUGUCUUGGUAUAUGUUGGUUUAUGUAACAAAAGCAUGCUUGAUCGCAUACACCACUAGAAGUAACUCUGUACAACACUUUAACGACAACUAGAUUGAUUGAGGCUGCUUAAAUUUCUGUUGAUCUUGAAAGUGCAUUCAGUUCUAGUCUCAAAUCAUAUUGAUUUCCAGGCCCUUAUCUUUUAAAAUUUUGUCAGCAUGUUUUGAAUUUGGAUUAACCUAGUCAGGGGCAGUGGUGAGGAUGAGGGAGAGAAGAAAGCCAGAGGGACUGCGAUAAGCGUGGGAUGAGAGGAAAGUAUAGCUGCAUGCAAUGUUCAUAUGUACCAGGAUCAAAAUUUUGUUGAUCAGGGAUUUUACAAACUUUAAAAGCAAUGCCUUCCCAUUGCCUUCCCUCUCAUUAGCUUUUCUUGAUUCCUCCACAUUUUUAGGUAAAAUAAUACCUCCAUUUAUUGUGGAUGAAACAAACUCUAAUUUGAGCGUGGACCAUUUGACCUAUAAUAAUGUAUACUUGAUUCCCAACUCUUUGAUAAGUUUUAUAAUGAACUGCAAGUAAGUAUAUUUUAGGUGUUUCUCUCUAAA
Molecule: non-coding RNA, 5380 nt
Organism: Phoenix dactylifera (date palm)
Lineage: Eukaryota; Viridiplantae; Streptophyta; Magnoliopsida; Arecales; Arecaceae
Source: RefSeq, a predicted model, not a curated record